AAUAUUGGACAAUGGGCGAAAGCCUGAUCCAGCCAUGCCGCGUGAAGGAAGAAGGCCNNNGGGUUNUCAACUUCUUUGACCGGNGACNAAAAAAAUGACGGUACCCGGAAAACAAGCCACGGCUAACUACGUGCCAGCAGCCGCGGUAAUACGUAGGUGGCAAGCGUUGUCCGGAUUUACUGGGUGUAAAGGGCGUGUAGGCGGGUUUUUAAGUCAGAUGUGAAAUACCGGGGCUCAACUCCGGGGCUGCAUCUGAAACUGGAGAUCUUGAGUACUGGAGGGGAAAGUGGAAUUCCUAGUGUAGCGGUGAAAUGCGUAGAGAUUAGGAGGAACACCAGUGGCGAAGGCGGCUUUCUGGACAGUAACUGACGCUGAGGCGCGAAAGCGUGGGGAGCAAACAGG
This 402-nucleotide ribosomal RNA is filed under the name uncultured bacterium. RNAcentral describes it as "partial 16S ribosomal RNA". It matches the Rfam family "Bacterial small subunit ribosomal RNA", at positions 360 to 776 of the family's 1533-position model. The record is from RNAcentral.